UGCAAGCUUUCUGCUCCAGAGUAGUCCCAUCUACCUAUCUUUGCUUUGCACCUGCAAGAUUCGAGCAUCCCGUAAGAUAGUUUUCUGUUAAUUGGGAGAGAGAAGUCCUUGCUUUCAUAAUCGCAUGGGAAGGACCUUCGAGCUUUUGAUUCAGCAGAGCAAGAUAUGGAAUAUGGUAUUGGAGACGGUGGGCAGGAGGAAACUCAAACUCACGAGGGCUCUAAUGAGGAAGUGGAUUUGGAUGAAGAACAACAUAGGUACGAGGGGAUGCUGGAUGAAACUCGUGAGGGUUUCAUGAUUAAAAACGACAAAGUAAAACGGCAACGCAAACAUGUGAAUCCAAUCAAUCCCUAUGCUAAUGCAGAUUUGUUAGAGAAGCCCAGUGAGUAUGUCGUUGCCAAGAAGAGGGUCCAUGCCAGGGAGCCAUUGGUGAAUCCACUGAUGAAGGACAAGAAUACCGGUGGGGUUGGUGGAGAAGGGGCCAAACGCCGAAGGGGAAGGGCGCCACAGGCCAGAAACAGGUGUAUUCCAGGAAAAGCUGACAAGAAGGCUGGAUCCAAUCAUGUCGACAUGACUCGUGCUGAAAUUUCGAGCUAGCUGUUCUGUUGUUGUAUGCAUUGCACAAUCUAUUGCACGCUGGGUUGACAUUAACUAUGUUUUUUUCUCACAUUAAUCUAUGUUUUAGUUUUCGUUCAAGUUAAUUGUAUCGUGUAAGAUUGUUAUUUAAAUCACUUGAGUAGGAGUGACGAAUGUCAGAGUGAAUUAAUUUGUGUAUUA
Lolium rigidum is the source of this 777-nucleotide RNA transcript. RefSeq lists it as uncharacterized. The record is from RefSeq and is a predicted model, not a curated record. Lineage: Eukaryota; Viridiplantae; Streptophyta; Magnoliopsida; Poales; Poaceae. The transcript has 4 exons.